GUCGUGGAUCCCAGCACAAUGACGCAAAAUGGUCUCCUGAGAACUACAAAAAGCGUGUGGCAGCUCUGGAGGCCAGGCAGAGCCAGCAGGGGGCACCGUCUCAGCACGGGACCCGCAUUCCUGUCCAGAACCACUCUUUGUGACCUGAGCAAGGAAGAUCGGGCCAUUACAGAGAGACUGGAGAGACUGAAGGCCAAUACCAAACCCAAGAUGAUCCCCUCUGAGAAAGAAAUUGAGUCCAAAUACAGAGAAGAGCAGACUGCAGGAGGCCAUGGCAGAGCUGAAACAGGACAACAUCUGCCAGGAACAGGUGCUGCAGAUUGCAAAGAGGCUGGCUGCUCUCAAAGGAAAGGACCCUGACAAGACUCUCUGACGAAGCAGCUAUAGAUGAAGCUAGUGGCUAUAGCAUUCCAUCUGAAUUGACCAGACCACCAAACACGACCAAGCAAGCAGUGAAAACCAAACAGCAGUGACUAAGAAGCCUGUCACUGUUCCCUGGGAGCCAGACAGCGAUGAUGAAGAAUUGCCCUGGUGCUGUAUCUGUAACGGUGACGUCACACUAUGCUGCCAUAGCUAUGACAGGAAUCUCUUCUGCCAAAGAUGUUUCAGGGUAGGACAUGAUGAAUGUGACAGAAAGGAGCAUCGAACAGUCACUUACCAACCGCCGAGAAAACAGAAGAAGAAAUGAAAUGCUUGGGGACCUUGCCAACAAUAAUAACCAAACACUUGAGUCAAGCUGAAAGUAUAUUACCUGCAACACUGCAUGGUGUGCAUAAGACAGUAAUCCUGUGAUUAAUGUAAUAAACCAUAGAAUAUAAGCAUUACCCCUCCAUGCAGACAGCCUUACUGCAUGUUGCUUGCAUUGCUUUU
Long non-coding RNA from Polyodon spathula (Mississippi paddlefish), 870 nucleotides. RefSeq lists it as uncharacterized. The record is from RefSeq and is a predicted model, not a curated record. NCBI's taxonomy places the organism in Eukaryota, Metazoa, Chordata, Actinopteri, Acipenseriformes, Polyodontidae. The transcript is spliced from 6 exons.